GCGGGUGUAGUUUAGUGGUAAAACCUCAGCCUUCCAAGCUGAUGAUGUGAGUUCGAUUCUCAUCACUCACUCCA
RNAcentral lists this transfer RNA (74 nucleotides) under Mesobacillus foraminis. Its description in RNAcentral is "tRNA-Gly". It matches the Rfam family "tRNA". From Rfam's summary of the family: Transfer RNA (tRNA) molecules are approximately 80 nucleotides in length. Their secondary structure includes four short double-helical elements and three loops (D, anti-codon, and T loops). The record is from RNAcentral. Lineage: Bacteria; Bacillati; Bacillota; Bacilli; Caryophanales; Bacillaceae.